This is a long non-coding RNA of Equus caballus (horse), 2653 nucleotides long. RefSeq lists it as uncharacterized. Lineage: Eukaryota; Metazoa; Chordata; Mammalia; Perissodactyla; Equidae. The record is from RefSeq and is a predicted model, not a curated record.
GUUGUGACAUCAACAAAGUGGCAUCUCCCCACGUCUCCAGGGCUCUGUCUUCACCCUCAGCACAGUCUGAGAUGGUACAGAAUUGAUAUCCCAAAGCUCACCUUUACGAUAGGCCCUGGUGAGCAAAGAGCUGCCCCCCACAGGCCAGCCCGGCUCUACGUGAGUCUGACAGGAGGUGGAGACCCAAGCCGGAAAUGCUCCUGGAUUCCCCCAUCAUUGCCUACAGCUGCCGGAAAUACUCGUCCUAGAUGUCCCUUUCUUAUGUACAGUACAGACUCCACCUUGCUGUCCCCCUGAACUUUCAAAUUCCCCAAGGAUGGGCCAGCCAUUAAGAAGUGGAUACUUUCCUCUGAUGGCCAGAGAAGCCCUGGUUCCAGCCCAGGGGGGCCCUGAGAACCUGGGAAAGGAGAAGGACAUCAUAAUCCACUUGAACAAGUCCCCUGGGCUCUCCAGUCUCUUCCUCACCGCCCCUCCCGGUGGCUUCACCAUUACUCUCCUGGAUGCCCAAUUGUAUCACCUGCCAUGUAGCUCCAGCCACACGGGCCUCUGCGUGGAAGUGACCGGGCUCCUUUCUAGAUGAGACCUUUGCCCAGCAGUCCCUCUGUCCAGGUAUCUCCUGCUCCAGAUUUCCUCCCUCCAGGCAGGCUGGUGUCAAGUCAGAGGCCAUAUCCUCAGAGUCCUAUUGGAAAGUGAGCUUUAUGGAAUCUUAUCUCGCUCACUGAAUUGCUGGUGUCUAGAACGCUGCCGGUCACAGAGUGGACACGUGGAGGGUACCUGUAGGUCGAAGAGCAGAGGAGGCUGGAGGGCCCUUAUGUUCCUCUGCUGCUGGAGACACCUCCGUCCCACAGAGCAACCUGGCGUGGUCGAAACAACAGGUAAAGAGAGAGGCAACGAGAAAUGAAGGUGCAGAGCUCCAGGCAGGGAGGGUAGGACUGGGUGCAGGAUCGCUGUGCACCUGGGAGGGCCGAGGGGUCUGGUGCUUCUCUAUUGGGAAGGCAGAGUCCAUCCAUCCGGACCCCUGUUACUUCUCCUGAAGACCACGCUGCCCACCUCGCUUUAAGGGUCAGCACUCUGUCCCAACCCCCAGGCCUGCUUUUCCUUGUCAGACUCACUGAUGUCCCUCAUUCAGCACUAGGUCCCCUCACCCUGGGGGUCCCCUCACCCUGGGCCCACCUCCUCCACCAUCAGCUCAUUUGUUUGAGAAUAAGACCCGGUCAUCAGCUCUAUUGUCGCCGAGGUGUUCAGCACGACAGAGGCAAAGACAGCGCCCUAGGGCAGCAGGUAAAAUCAAAACGACGUCCGCACACGGUGGGAAUUCGCAGAGUUCAACCGAAAAGCGCCAGGCCAUCUUCUUUCCCGGAGUCGAGGAUCAGAAGUUCCCAGUGCAGAGCAGCAUCUUGUGUUAACGUGGUGACUUGUACCUAAGCAACACUUAGCUGAUUCUGCAAGGUGGUCGUUUGGAAUAAGCUUCAACAGGAGUGGUAGCAAGAAAAAAUUUAUUCCACAAAUAUUUAUUAAAUCAUUGAUAUUUCAUACUAGAUUGACAAGAAUAAGAGAAAAUACAUCUUAUAGGAAAACAAUAGGAAAACUCAAACAACCAGAUGAUAUUUUUCCUGUAAUGUUUUUGUCAAGAAACAAAAAGUAACCUAUGAAAGAUUUUCGCAUGCUGCAUAGAAGUGAUGAGAAGGAACUGUCUGAGGUCCCUGCAGAAUCGGCCCAGAAACCUGGGCCUGUGGUAUCCACCUGGUCUUCACGAGCUUUCAGGUCAGGUCCCAGUUACAACCUAGGAGGCCAAGGCCCCGGGGGCCCAGGUCCAUUGCCUGUGGUCUCCAAGCGGGUGGGUGGCAGGUUGGGUGGACAUGCAGCCUACUUCUCCAGAAGCUCACCUGAGAAUACCGGCCUGAACAGUCCAACUCACUCCCACGAUGAUGACUUCGAGGCCUGGCAAAGCCAGUUCAUUAAGGAUGUUUUAAUGCUGUGUUUGGACAGAGUAGCGCCAAGUGCAUGUGGCAAUAACCUGCAUCUGUUGAAGGAACCGGCCUCUGCCUGUCUGUUUACCGCGUGUCGGUGAACAUUGGACAUCGCUCAGCCCUGCCGCCCCACCGUCACUUGACAGCCCUGGAGGGACCCUGCUCUGAUCUUGCAGGUCUGCAGGGGACUGAGUUUCCUGCAAACUCCCCAGGCUUCCAGGUGUACCGGAAGCUAGACCCCUCCCCACUCUACAGCCCAGAACCCAGGCUCACCGUGGAGGGACUCAGGGUGAAGGGCUCUGCAGUCCCCUGGCUCUUGGCCUCGCACUCCCUCUGUGCCACCCCAGUGCUAGUCCCCACAGCCAUCACGCCCCACAUGCCGUGAAUUGAUUACAGAGGAUGGUGAAUGGCAAAUCCUUAGCCUCGUACAAAGAAGAAUCAGGCUCAUUUAUUUAUAAGCUGCAAAUUGGCGGAAAGCCGUGCCGCAUGCACAGAUCCAACCUACAUCUGCACAUCAGCAAAACAGCCCACCCGCCGCCCCAGGGAGCUCUGCUGUGGAAGCAGGGGUCUCAAGGAACGCGACGGAAAAAUGACCUUAUUGUUCAAUAAUGACGUCAAAAUUUACAGUUAAUUGAACAAAAAAUAUCCUCAGGUUAAAAAAAUGAGACAAAUUUAUCACCUUA